RNAcentral lists this ribosomal RNA (271 nucleotides) under uncultured bacterium. Its description in RNAcentral is "partial 16S ribosomal RNA". It matches the Rfam family "Bacterial small subunit ribosomal RNA", at positions 524 to 794 of the family's 1533-position model. The record is from RNAcentral.
GACGAGGGAUCCUAGCGUUGUUCGGAAUUAUUGGGCGUAAAGCGCGUGUAGGCGGUUUGUUAAGUCUGAUGUGAAAGCCCCGGGCUCAACCUGGGAAGUGCAUUGGAUACUGGCAGACUUGAGUACGGGAGAGGAGAGUGGAAUUCCCAGUGUAGGAGUGAAAUCCGUAGAUAUUGGGAGGAACACCGGUGGCGAAGGCGGCUCUCUGGACCGAUACUGACGCUGAGACGCGAAAGCGUGGGGAGCAAACAGGAUUAGAUACCCCGGUAGU